RNAcentral lists this ribosomal RNA (253 nucleotides) under uncultured bacterium. RNAcentral's name for it is "partial 16S ribosomal RNA". It matches the Rfam family "Bacterial small subunit ribosomal RNA", at positions 524 to 776 of the family's 1533-position model. The record is from RNAcentral.
UACGAGGGGGGCAAGCGUUGUUCGGAAUUAUUGGGCGUAAAGGGUGCGUAGGCGGUUUUGUAAGUCUUGUGUGAAAUCUUCAGGCUCAACUUGAAGACUGCACGAGAAACUGCAGGGCUUGAGUGUGGGAGAGGUGAGUGGAAUUCCUGGUGUAGCGGUGAAAUGCGUAGAGAUCAGGCAGAACACCUGGGGCGAAGGCGGCCGGCUGGGCCGUCCCUGACGCUGAGGCGCGAAGGCGUGGGGAGCGAACGGG